GGCUUAGCUCCAAUGGUAGAGCAGUCGCCUUGUAAGCGAAUGGGUAGCGGUUCAAGUCCGUUACCGCCGUCA
This 72-nucleotide transfer RNA is filed under the name Caudoviricetes sp. RNAcentral's name for it is "tRNA-Thr". The stretch from base 4 to 63 matches the Rfam family "tRNA", at positions 7 to 64 of the family's 71-position model. From Rfam's summary of the family: Transfer RNA (tRNA) molecules are approximately 80 nucleotides in length. Their secondary structure includes four short double-helical elements and three loops (D, anti-codon, and T loops). The record is from RNAcentral. Lineage: Duplodnaviria; Heunggongvirae; Uroviricota; Caudoviricetes.